RNAcentral lists this ribosomal RNA (307 nucleotides) under uncultured bacterium. Its description in RNAcentral is "bacterial SSU rRNA". It matches the Rfam family "Bacterial small subunit ribosomal RNA", at positions 32 to 333 of the family's 1533-position model. The record is from RNAcentral.
AAUCAACGCUGGCGGCGUGCCUAACACAUGCAAGUCGAACGCGAAAGUUCCUUCGGGGAUGAGUAGAGUGGCGUCCGGGUGAGUAACGCGUGGGUAAUCUGCCUUUGGGUGGGAAUAACCGAGGAAACGUUGGGCUAAUACCGCAUAAUGCAGCGGCUCGACAUCGAGACGGUUGUUAAAGCAGCAAUGUGCCUGGAGAGGAGCCUGCGUCUGAUUAGCUAGUUGGAAGGUAAUAGGCUUACCAAGGCUGCGAUCAGUAGCUGGUCUGAGAGGACGGCCAGCCACAAUGGCACUGAAACACGGGCCA